Molecule: ribosomal RNA, 253 nt
Filed under: uncultured bacterium
Lineage: Bacteria
Description: partial 16S ribosomal RNA
Rfam family: Bacterial small subunit ribosomal RNA
Source: RNAcentral
GACAGAGGGUGCAAACGUUGUUCGGAAUUACUGGGCGUAAAGCGCGUGUAGGCUGCUCGGAAAGUCGGAUGUGAAAGCCCUGGGCUUAACCUAGGAAGUGCAUUCGAAACUUCCGAGCUGGAGUUCUGGAGAGGAAGGCGGAAUUCUCGGUGUAGAGGUGAAAUUCGUAGAUAUCGAGAGGAACACCGGUGGCGAAGGCGGCCUUCUGGACAGUAACUGACACUCAACUGCGAAAGCGUGGGGAGCAAACAGG